AGUGAACGCUGGCGGUAGGCCUAACACAUGCAAGUCGAACGGCAGCACAGUAAGAGCUUGCUCUUACGGGUGGCGAGUGGCGGACGGGUGGGGAAUACAUCGGAAUCUACUUUUUCGUGGGGGAUAACGUAGGGAAACUUACGCUAAUACCGCAUACGACCUACGGGUGAAAGCAGGGGAUCUUCGGACCUUGCGCGAUUGAAUGAGCCGAUGUCGGAUUAGCUAGUUGGCGGGGUAAAGGCCCACCAAGGCGACGAUCCGUAGCUGGUCUGAGAGGAUGAUCAGCCACACUGGAGCUGAGACACGGUCCAGACUCCUACGGGAGGCAGCAGUGGGGAAUAUUGGACAAUGGGCGCAAGCCUGAUCCAGCCAUACCGCGUGGGUGAAGAAGGCCUUCGGGUUGUAAAGCCCUUUUGUUGGGAAAGAAAAGCAGCAGGUUAAUACCCCGCUGUUCUGACGGUACCCAAAGAAUAAGCACCGGCUAACUUCGU
Molecule: ribosomal RNA, 491 nt
Filed under: uncultured bacterium
Lineage: Bacteria
Description: partial 16S ribosomal RNA
Rfam family: Bacterial small subunit ribosomal RNA
Source: RNAcentral